UACGUAGGGGGCAAGCGUUGUCCGGAGUUACUGGGCGUAAAGGGCGUGCAGGCGGUUUGCGAAGUUUGGAGUGACAGUGCCUGGCUUAACCAGGCAAGGCCUUCAAAAACUGGCAGACUUGAGGACCAGAGAGGGACAUAGAAUUCCGGGUGGAGUGGUGAAAUGCGUAGAUAUCCGGAGGAAUACCGAAGGCGAAGGCAGUGUCCUGGAUGGUACCUGACGCUGAGGCGCGAAAGCUAGGGGAG
This 245-nucleotide ribosomal RNA is filed under the name uncultured bacterium. RNAcentral describes it as "partial 16S ribosomal RNA". It matches the Rfam family "Bacterial small subunit ribosomal RNA", at positions 524 to 768 of the family's 1533-position model. The record is from RNAcentral.